CAUUGUAGAGUGAGACCUGUUCUUAUAAAUUCAAAAAUAAAUAAACAGUAAUUAGUGGCAUGAGAGAUUCAUAGCCCAUAAUUUUUAGCCCCAUGUGGGUUGGUCUAAUUAUACCCAAGAAACCGUAAAAAAUUGGAGUGGGGAGAUCUUUCCCUCCGUCGAAUGUGGGGACAUACAAUUUUCUCAGAGGUUUCAUUUUUGGAUUUACUUUUCCCUUUGUCUGUUCGGCCUCCAUCAGCUUCAUAAAUAUGGAUUGAACCGUAGGAGCUGUUUGUGCUGGGAUGUCGUGUCAGCUCUGUUGGGCAUCGAUGACCCGGAUUGCAUCUCUCCCGGUAAACAGAUUGUUAUAGGAUUUGUGUCCUUUAGAGCUCACGGUUCUUGCUCACACCGCUGGGAAGAAUGAAGAGGUAGACCAGAUGCGCGCUGGGCCCUCAAUGACCGUAUGACCUUCAGCACGUCUUGGAGAUGGCCACAGAGGGGGUUCCACGUACCCAACACAUGACCUUCACUCUCCUGGCAGCCAACACAAUUAAUGAACAGCUCCUGUUCAGAAAGUCAAACCGAACACAAGUGAUGUAAUGUGAUCCCUCCCGUCAUCCUGAAUUGAUUUACCCUCCUCAUCGCAAAGCCCUGUGUUUCGGGGAUCCCUUCUGGAAGGUCUGCACAGAGCGUCCCUGAGCCCCCAGAAUGGCAUAUGGUUUCACAUCGCACAAAUACAUCCUAUGAGGCAAGGUGUUCCUUAUCAUAUUACUCUGAGAUCUUUCCCACAAAUAUACAUGUACAGAUCACCUUCCUUUAUUGUUUUUUUUUUUUUAUGGCUAUGACAUAGUCUCUUGGAAGGGCAUGCCUCGAUUUAUUUUUUUUAUUUUGUAGAAUAAAUAGACGUCAUUGCUUGGAGCCGUUUCAGGUUCACAGAAGCAUGCAACACAACGUGCAGAUGGUUCCCACGUCCGCCUGGCCCUGCACCCCGUUUCCCCUCUUACAAACAUCUCCCAUAACUGUGGUACAUGCCUUACCGUUUCUGAACCAGUAUCAACGCAUUCACACCCCAAACCCACAGCAUCCAUCAGGGUUCACUCUGCUGGUGCACAGCCUCUGGGUUUUGCAAAACUCAUCGACCCACCAAGAGGGCAUCCCGCAGAGGUGCCCCACUGCCCUACCACGCAUUAAUUCAUCUCGUCACCACUAUUUGCUGCUGCAGAACCCCAGAAGCCUCCACCCCCGCCCCCCCGGCUCUCGGUCCUCAGCAGAAUCCCUCGAGGAAAUAGGAAAGGUGUCUGAGCCGCCACCCCGAGACAUGCAUCAGUGGGGCCCUGCUAGAGCCCACACUCUGCAGGGUUUUCCAGCGUUUCAUGGACUUCUCCCCAAGUCUGGGUCUUUGAAGCCUAUUGUCCACUCAGCAGCCGUGCUGCAUUUUGCUCGGAGUUUGGGUUGCCAAAUAAAAUACAGGAUACCAGCGGAACUCAAAUUGCAGAUAAACCAGAGAGCACAAGCAGAGGGAGAGGGAGAAGCAGGCUCCCUGCUGAGCAAGGAGGCUGAUGUGGGAUUCGAUCCCAGGACCCUGGGAUCAUGACCUGAGCUGAAGGCAGACGCUUAACCAACGGAGCCACCCAGGAGUCCCAGCCUAAAUAAGACCCCGUAGAUGUUCUCGUUCCUCCGUCCUGGAAAUGAAGAUUAAACGCACAACCACCAGCUUUCUAGCAAGAUCUGACAGAACUCUCAGUCCAAUCUGUCACAUCACGGAAACCGGUUUCCAAACCUCUCCAUUC
Molecule: long non-coding RNA, 1769 nt
Organism: Mirounga angustirostris (Northern elephant seal)
Lineage: Eukaryota; Metazoa; Chordata; Mammalia; Carnivora; Phocidae
Exons: 6
Source: RefSeq, a predicted model, not a curated record